Molecule: non-coding RNA, 1522 nt
Organism: Heligmosomoides polygyrus
Lineage: Eukaryota; Metazoa; Nematoda; Chromadorea; Rhabditida; Heligmosomidae
Source: Rfam
CAACCUGAGCUCAGGCGUGACUACCCGCCGAACUUAAGCAUAUCAUUUAGCGGAGGAAAAGAAACUAACAAGGAUUCCCUUAGUAACGGCGAGUGAACGGGGAGAAGCCCAGCGCUGAAUCUUUCGGUGUUACACCGUUAAGAAAUGUAGCGUAUAGGUGUGAUUUUCAGUUUGUGCUGCAUGUCCAAAGUCCCUUUGAUAGGGGCCACAUUCCUGAGAGGGUGCGAGACCUGUGCGGACAGUGGAGCAAGCUGUACGAUCAUACCUUGGAGUCGGGUUGCUUGAAAGUGCAGCCUAAAGUGGGUGAUAAACUUCAUCUAAGGCUAAAUAUAGACGCGAAUUCGAUAGCAAACAAGUACUGUGAAGGAAAGUUGCAAAGAACUUUGAAGAGAGAGUUCAAGAGAACGUGAAAUCGCUGGAGUGGAACCGGAGAGAGUUGACGUAGCCGGGUAACUAAGUCUACUAAUGUCGCUUAAUUGUGACUGCGGGAGAUGUAUGUUGCCUAUGGCUGCGCUGACAGCGCUGGCCGUGCGUUCCGAACCGUUUAGCGUUGCCCACCGUUUCGGCGGUGGUGUCUUGCUGGCGGAUAGGUUUGUCGUGGCUAGCGUUUUUGCCCUACUUCAUUGUAGGGUGUCAGUGUGAAAGUCGACCACCUCUCCGACCCGUCUUGAAACACGGACCGAGGAGUGUAACUUGUACGCGAGUCAAAGGGUGGAAAACCCCAAGGCGUAAUGAAAGUAAAGGUCGGUUAACCGGCUGACAUGGGAUCCGUUUCGUUUACGAAGCGGCGCACCAUGGCCCUGUCUUGUCUGCUUGCAGAUGGGCAGCGGUAGAGCGUACAGGUUGCGACCCGAAAGAUGGUGAACUAUGCCUGAGCAGGACGAAGUCAGAGGAAACUCUGGUGGAAGUCCGUAUCGGUUCUGACGUGCAAAUCGAUCGAUAGACUUGGGUAUAGGGGCGAAAGACUAAUCGAACCAUCUAGUAGCUGGUUCCCUCCGAAGUUUCCCCCAGGAUAGCUGGAGUUCAUAGCGGUUAUAUCCGGUAAAGCGAAUGAUUAGAGGACUUGGGGUCGAAACGAUCUCAACCUAUUCUCAAACUUUCAAUGGGUAUGUUGUCUCGGUUUCUUCAUUGAACUGUUGACACGAACGCGAGCUCCAAGUGGGCCAUUUUUGGUAAGCAGAACUGGCGCUGUGGGAUGAACCAAACGUUGGGUUAAGGUGCCUAACUUUUCGCUCAUGAGACCCCAUAAAAGGCGUUGGUUGAUAUAGACAGCAGGACGGUGGCCAUGGAAGUCGGUACCCGCUAAGGAGUGUGUAACAACUCACCUGCCGAAUCAACUAGCCCUGAAAAUGGAUGGCGCUUGAGCGAGAGACCUAUACCCAACCGUUGCUGGCUUGUGCGUUGUCUAGCGCCUGGCCGCAACGAGUAGGAGGGUCGUGGCGGUUGCGUCGAAGGCUUUGGGCGUAGGCCCAGCUGGAGCUUCCGUCAAUGAAGGAUCCACAUGUGGUUCAACUUCCACGGU